GAAUUCCUUCCAUUCUGCUACCAUAGAUUCGGCCUGAGUUUCUGUGACAUGAUGACUAGCUGAUUUCCAAGAACCCCCACUAGCUUCCAGUUGCUUUGCCCAAUUGCGUGCUUGCUCCCAAUGUCCAUUAUUUUCUAGCGCUGUUAAAAGUGAUGCAUCAUCUAGAGCCUCAUUUCCAAGGUGCAGGUCAUCAUCUAUACGUAAUGAAGGCUCUGCUAAAUUGAUUUUCCAAUAUAGUCGUCGAUAAUACGUGGCAGAAAAUCCUCCAUCGCCAAAAUCUGUUGCAGCUAGAAGUUUCAGUAGGCAUCUUCUUUCAUAUGGAGAUGGACAAACAGACAGUACAGCAUUGGCAG
RNAcentral lists this unclassified non-coding RNA (353 nucleotides) under Hevea brasiliensis (rubber tree). Lineage: Eukaryota; Viridiplantae; Streptophyta; Magnoliopsida; Malpighiales; Euphorbiaceae. The record is from RNAcentral.